RNAcentral lists this ribosomal RNA (403 nucleotides) under Verrucomicrobiota bacterium. Its description in RNAcentral is "Verrucomicrobia bacterium partial 16S ribosomal RNA". It matches the Rfam family "Bacterial small subunit ribosomal RNA", at positions 355 to 776 of the family's 1533-position model. Lineage: Bacteria; Pseudomonadati; Verrucomicrobiota. The record is from RNAcentral.
UGGGGAAUAUUGCGCAAUGGGGGCAACCCUGACGCAGCAACGCCGCGUGCGGGACGACGGCCUUCGGGUUGUAAACCGCUUUCAGCAGGGAAGAUAGUGACGGUACCUGCACAAGAAGCCCCGGCUAACUACGUGCCAGCAGCCGCGGUAAUACGUAGGGGGCGAGCGUUAUCCGGAUUCAUUGGGCGUAAAGCGCGCGCAGGCGGCUCUUCAAGCGGAACCUCUAACCCCGGGGCUCAACCGCGGGCCGGGUUCCGAACUGGAGGGCUCGAGGGCGGGAGGGGCAGGGGGAAUUUCCGGUGUAGCGGUGGAAUGCGCAGAUAUCGGGAAGAACAACGAUGGCGAAGGCAGCCGGCUGGGCCGGCUCUGACGCUGGGGCGCGAAAGCUAGGGGAGCGAACAGG